GUUUCAGAUGGAGGGUGCGACGUGCGAGAUGCACGCUCUGUUCGAGGGAUAAAACGGCCACGCACGAGAUUUUGUAGGCAAUGGUAAUUGGUGACGAUACCAUGGCGUUUGAAAAGAAGUUUGAGUUUUAGGUGGUAGAGUUGAACAGCAGUACCUUCAAUGCACUGGGAACUAACGUGCUCUCCCCCUCUCUCUCUUCUCUCUUAAUCAGGGCCCAGGUCUUGUGGCCACAUCUGUCCAAGCUCCUACUCUGAUUGAACAGUUGGAUGAUCAGACUGAUGAUGAAAAGUGCUACACAGUUCUCACACAUCUUCUACCUCUGAAGCCGCUGCAGUGUAAAAUCUGAGAUGUCUUUUCUGGUUGAUUUUGUGCAGAUUUCUGACAGCGAUGGUGAGGGAAGCAGUGUACCGAACUCUCAGAUGACUCGGACCAGGUGACCAAACCCAUGCAAAACACAAUGGAGAUUAACAAGAGGCUGGAUGCUGCGUCCAUCACCAGAGGGGCCGGGAUUGCUGCGGCAGCUAGCCAAUUAAAGGAGGAGGAUGAAGGAGAGGAGUCUGACGAUGCAGACAUCGCCAUCGUAUGCAGGCCACGCCCUCGCAGGAAAACCAGCCAAUGAAAACGCUCGCAGCAGCAUCAGCAGAACACACCGGCACGACUGACAGAGCUUCUGAAGCAUGCAGUGGAAGAGCUGUCAGUCAAGCUAAAGGUCCCGCCCUCCAACCUGCU
Engraulis encrasicolus (European anchovy) is the source of this 729-nucleotide long non-coding RNA. RefSeq lists it as uncharacterized. Lineage: Eukaryota; Metazoa; Chordata; Actinopteri; Clupeiformes; Engraulidae. The transcript has 5 exons. The record is from RefSeq and is a predicted model, not a curated record.